ACACUAUCUGCCUAGCAGAGGCUUGGAUCCCAGAGAGUUCCCCUGUCUUCUGUCUGGUACACUUGGAGGGAAGAUCGCCUGAGCUGGUAUGUUGGCUUGGCAGCUGGCACUACACAUACACACCAGAGGAAGCAGGUUAUUGAAAUGACAGACCCCCAAGAAAACGGGAUUCUCCCGGGAAUUUCACACUAGGAGAAGAGAAGCCACAAGCCUAGGCCAGUCGGGGACAGGACACUUCUCCUGGGGAGAGCCUAGGACCUCGGUCGAUCACCUGACAGGAGAGGCUGGACGGGACCACACCUUGACCUUGGCCUGCUGAGCUCUGCAUAACUCUGGGCCUCUGGUGACUCCUCUGUCUCAUUUCAGGACUCACAUGGACUUGGGGUGGGGGGAGGGGGAGUCACACGAGCUCUGUCCAUUUUCUCAAUGUCGCUACAUCGAGUAAACCUCCUUUCCCUGCUUUUUA
This 466-nucleotide long non-coding RNA is filed under the name Mus musculus (house mouse). RNAcentral describes it as "predicted gene, 30603". The record is from RNAcentral. Lineage: Eukaryota; Metazoa; Chordata; Mammalia; Rodentia; Muridae.